This 245-nucleotide ribosomal RNA is filed under the name uncultured Skermanella sp. RNAcentral's name for it is "partial 16S ribosomal RNA". It matches the Rfam family "Bacterial small subunit ribosomal RNA", at positions 524 to 768 of the family's 1533-position model. The record is from RNAcentral. Lineage: Bacteria; Pseudomonadati; Pseudomonadota; Alphaproteobacteria; Rhodospirillales; Azospirillaceae.
UACGAAGGGGGCUAGCGUUGUUCGGAAUUACUGGGCGUAAAGGGCGCGUAGGCGGUACUUCAAGUCAGGCGUGAAAGCCCCGGGCUCAACCUGGGAACCGCGCUUGAGACUGGAGAACUAGAGUUCGGGAGAGGAUGGUGGAAUUCCCAGUGUAGAGGUGAAAUUCGUAGAUAUUGGGAAGAACACCGAUGGCGAAGGCAGCCAUCUGGACCGACACUGACGCUGAGGCGCGAAAGCGUGGGGAG